GUGUUGCAGAUCUUGAAGGAUGGAACAGAAUCUCCACUGCGACGAAGCAUAUUAAUCCGAUGGUAGCUUCUGCGGUUCUAGCAAUUGCAAAUUCACUUGGAGUGCCGUAGUUUUUCCUUCCCAAUAUCAGUGAUGCCCCUAUAACUGCUGCAAUCCCACCAGCUUGGCCAUACAUGCGACUAUGUCUCAGAAAACUGGUGAAAAUGAUCCAAGGAAGUAGAACCACCAUAAAUGUUGCUUGUCGCUCUGUUACGAAACUAAUGGCAAUUGUUAGUCCCGACCAGUAUCCGUUCUCUUUGUUAUAUAUCAAACCGAAUAGCACAGCGAGACCUAGAGAAAGUGAGCACUUGAUUGCGAAAAGACCGUCUUGUAGGAGUUCCAUACAAUACAAGAAGAAGAAGGAUGACAGAUCUUCAUGGUUUGUUGAAAUGGCUUUUUGGGUCCACAAAGAUCUGUCUGUAUUUUCUCCCUUCAUAUCUGGAGUUGUUGCUGCAUCAAAAGGCACGGAACGCAUAGCUUGCUCAAGUUUUAGAGCAAUCUGUUUCUUUUCAAUUUGUAGAACAUUUACGAGCUCUUCGUCCAUCAUCCUGACAGGGAAGGGAGUGCAAUUGGUUAAGGCCCAUUCCAUCCCUUGAAUCGGCAUAUCCAUCUCUUUCAGUUUCUCUCCGGGAUCUGAGCGCUUUGGUUUCAAGAAUCUCAACCAAGGUUUCUCCCAAAGCAUGCCUUCCUGUUAACAGAAAACACCUCGUCAAUGUUACUUUCAAACAAAAGCUCAGACAGAGAUUAGAAAAGGUUUUGUCAUUCAGAUUUGACACUCAAGCUUGGCGCAUUUCAAGUUCUAGUUGGACAGAUUCAAGUUGACUUUUUUAUGAUUAAAUCAGGUUGGGUUGAGUUUUCAGAUUUGGGCCAAAAUUGAAUGGUCUACAUAUGGAUAUACUCUCCCUUAUGGCGGUAUUAAGAAUCUGAUGCUUCAUGAUUUUUCUAUUCUUCUGCUUCCCUGUUUAUGCAUUAUGAAGGACCAUGCUUUUCGAUGUACCUUAACUUUCAUGCUCUUAGUUUUAACAAAGAAAAGAAAUUAACGUAAUCCUCAUCAUCAUCUUGUAGACAGAAGGAAAAUGAUUGGAUAUUUGAUGAAAAGGUUUAUUGGCAUCUAUUUUAGUGUUUUACAGCACUAGGUGAGGAUGAACAACCAUGAAACUUGACCCUAAACAUUGCACUAUUUCGUUAUGCUUAUGCAAUACAUAAAUCUUGAUGCAAAAUAGAUGCAGUCCCAUGCAAAACAAAGCAAGUUCAUAUUCCAGCUCGGUACUUACCUCACGGUAGGCUAAGUGAGGGUACGGAAACAACAUGGCUAGAAUAGAUGCCACGGCGCCAAGAGCUGUGCUUGCUGCGACAUGAAUCGGAUGAAUGAUAAUUCCAGUUUUUGCACCUUGAAUAACUGCACCUACAUAAAUAAUCACAGUCUGACCGAAGGCAAUCCUCUUAGCCGUCAAAUGCGUGGAACCAGGUAACGCGAUCAGGAAUGAACUAAGUGCCACUGCUACAGCAGCUAGUCCACAGUUGAACCUAGAUGGUCCAAUCAACCGGAGAAUCAACAUAGAAGGCAGUAUUACUUGAAUGCUGGCACAUAGAACAUGCCAACAACCUCGCAGGGCAUCACCAAGUGUAGCAUCCGAGACUAUUAAGAUAGUUGUCACAUAGGAAAACGCAGGAAACGUUAUGGUAUGCCGGACAGAUUCCGGCCCGUAGAGGGUAGUGCAACCCACUAUGGAGCAAGCUAGCACAGUCCGCAAAGCAGAUCCUAGGCGUAAACGCCAUGGAGCUUGUGAGCUAUCCAUUGGUGCUUUCAUUAUGUAAUUUAGGUCUGUCAAGAGUCUGAGAUUGGUUGACGAGAGGCUUUAUAGGAGAACAAAGACACACAUGGUGGUAUGCAAUUGCAAGCCUGGGAAGAUUAAUGGAAGGAUUAUGAUGUAUUUUACAUUAUUGGAGUGAAAAUGCUCAAGCCGGCAGUAUUUCUUUGGCAUCAUAAAGGUAUAUCCCGAGUUACGUUGGACUCGAGACUAACAUUUAUUGGACCAGGAGCAUAUACGGUAAAACCCUUCUAUCAAGUGCCUUUUUUUGAGGGAUAAUUUUUUUAUUUCGGUACAAGUACCAUGAAAAUUUUUGUACUAAGAGUUAGAUUAUAUUUUAUCUCCUUUACUCACAAAAUAGGUAAAUUAAUCUAUAUAUGUUAGAUCAAAGAGCAAACCCGACAUUGAUCAUUCUACGGUUAAAAACUAACAUAGCUUAUAGAAUAACCAAAUUCACGUGAUAUAUCACAUGUAUUUCAUUCUUACAUAGAUCAAUUUUUAACAGUAUUAGUUUGCUCUUUAAUCAAUAUAUAGGGAUUAAUUUGUUUAUUUUUUCAAUAAAAAAGAUAAAAUACAAUAUAACUCCUAAUACAAAGAUCUUUAUGAUAUUUUUACCUCGUUCAUCGAAUUUUUACUCUUUAUUCCUUUUAAUUUUUACUACCAAAUAUAGAAAUCCGGAAUUGUCACUGUUCUACUUGUUUUUGUCCUACAUUCCAAAAUCCCACAUUUUUUUGGAACAUUUUUCAACAAUAAUUUCCAUAUUAGAUUUUAUAAAA
Gossypium arboreum is the source of this 2626-nucleotide long non-coding RNA. RefSeq lists it as uncharacterized. Lineage: Eukaryota; Viridiplantae; Streptophyta; Magnoliopsida; Malvales; Malvaceae. The record is from RefSeq and is a predicted model, not a curated record. The transcript has 5 exons.